GCAUUAUCAUAUGUCUCUAUGUAGAAGACCAACUCAUAUCUGGUUCAAACAUUCAUGUUGUAAAUAUUAUGAAAUCAUUGUUGUGUAACAACUUUGAUAUGAAAUACCUCGGAGAAAUGAGUGUAAUCUUUGGAAUCAACAUUACUAGGUCAGAAAAGGAAAUUUCUUUGGAUCAAUCUCACUUUGUUGAAAAGAUCCUAAAGAAAUACAAAUAUUUUGAUUGUAAACCUGCUUGCACACCAUAUGAUUCGAGUAUGAAAUUUUUCAAAAACACAGAUGAAUGUGUUAAACAAACUGAAUAUGCGAGCAUCAUUGGCAGUCUCAGGUAUGCCAGUAACUCUAUUAUACCUGACAUUGCCUACGUUGUGGGACUAUUGUGCAGGUUUACUAGUAUACCUAAUAUGGAGUAUUGACACGCUAUCGAAAGAGUCAUAGAAUACCUUAAAAGGAUCAUGUGUCUUGGAUUACAAUAUCAAAGAUUUUUUGUCGUCCAAAACAAUCAGUAGCUAUAUUUUUAGUAUAGUCGAUGGUGCUAUAUCUUGGAAAUCGAAGAAAUAUUGGCUCGGUCCACUAUGAAUUCUAAAAUAAUAGCCCUAACUAUUGCCAGUGAAGAAGCAAAUUGGUUGAGAUGAUUGCUAGAUGAGAUUCUUUUAUGGAAAAAACAUGAUUGCUAGAUUAGAUCCCUUUAUGGAAAAAAAUCUAUGCAAGUUGUGUUGAUCCACUGAGGAGUGCACUAUGUUUGAAUAGCACUAGCAAACAACUUGGUUACCAAUAGUUUAGGAUUAAAUUGGUAUUAAAUUCUUACUAAUGACUACCUUGUAAAGAUUGUUCAAACUGACAGGGUAAUUAACAUGGUAUGCGUGAUGAUGAUGUUUAAGAAUUUGUAAAUUAAUAAUAUAUUGAGGCUUCACGGUUCAUUAUUGUAUUGUGUGGGUUAAGCACAUUUUGGCGAAUGUUAUAGUUGGUUUCAAAAUUUCAGAUGUAUGCACGGUAAGUGUUUGAUAGAAAUGCAAAAUGGUGAUAAAAGAGGGUUCUAAUACAUUGUGGGAAAUAGGAAUGAAUACACAGAAAAUGUGAAACCAUUGAAAGCGAACCUUCACAUUUGUUGGAUUCCAUUGCGAUCCAGGACGCGUGUUGUUAUCAUUAUGCACGGCUGGAGGGGGAAUCUACGAGGGUGGUAGAGGACGUCGCCGCCGAGGACGGAUAGAUCUUCUUGAUUUGGAUUUGUCGAGGCUGUGAAUUGUGAUAGUCGAAUUUGGAUGCUGUGUUUCUCUUAGAUGCGGUUUAUACACUAUGAUUAUUUUCAUAUAUAUCAUCGGUGCAAAAAG
RNAcentral lists this long non-coding RNA (1328 nucleotides) under Cicer arietinum (chickpea). Its description in RNAcentral is "long non-coding RNA (CARI_LNC001850)". Lineage: Eukaryota; Viridiplantae; Streptophyta; Magnoliopsida; Fabales; Fabaceae. The record is from RNAcentral.